AACGAACGCUGGCGGCAGGCUUAACACAUGCAAGUCGAACGCCCCGCAAGGGGAGUGGCAGACGGGUGAGUAACGCGUGGGAACGUGCCCUUCGCUUCGGAAUAGCCCCGGGAAACUGGGAGUAAUACCGAAUACGCCGUAUUGGGAAAGAUUUAUCGGCGAAGGAUCGGCCCGCGUUAGAUUAGGUAGUUGGCGGUGUAAUAGACCACCAAGCCUACGAUCUCUUGCUGGUCUGAGAGGAUGAUCCGCCACCCUGGCACUGAGACCCGGGCCAGACUCCUACGGGAGGCAGCAGUGGGGAAUCUUGGACAAUGGGCGCAAGCCUGAUCCAGCCAUGCCGCGUGAGUGAAGAAGGCCUUAGGGUUGUAAAACUCUUUCGCCGGAGAAGAUAAUGACGGUAUCCGGAGAAGAAGCCCCGGCUAACUUCGUGCCAGCCGCCGCCGUAA
This 446-nucleotide ribosomal RNA is filed under the name uncultured bacterium. Its description in RNAcentral is "partial 16S ribosomal RNA". It matches the Rfam family "Bacterial small subunit ribosomal RNA", at positions 29 to 523 of the family's 1533-position model. The record is from RNAcentral.